Molecule: ribosomal RNA, 497 nt
Filed under: uncultured bacterium
Lineage: Bacteria
Description: partial 16S ribosomal RNA
Rfam family: Bacterial small subunit ribosomal RNA
Source: RNAcentral
GAUGAACGCUGGCGGCGUGCCUAAUACAUGCAAGUCGAGCGAACGGACGAGAAGCUUGCUUCUCUGAUGUUAGCGGCGGACGGGUGAGUAACACGUGGAUAACCUACCUAUCAGACUGGGAUAACUUCGGGAAACCGGAGCUAAUACCGGAUGAUAUUUUGAACCGCAUGGUUCAAAAGUGAAAGACGGUCUUGCUGUCACUUAUAGAUGGAUCUGCGCUUCAUUAGCUAGUUGGUAAGGUAACGGCUUACCAAGGCAACGAUGCAUAGCCGAACUGAGAGGGGGAUCGGCGACAUUGGAACUGAGACAGGGUCAAGACUCCUACGGGAGGCAGCAGUAGGGAAGCUUCCGCAAAGGGCGAAAGCCUGACGGAGCAACGCCGCGUGAGUGAUGAAGGUCUUCGGAUCGUAAAACUCUGUUAUUAGGGAAGAACAGAUGUGUAAGUAACUGUGCACAUCUUGACGGUACCUAAUCAGAAAGCCACGGCUAACUACGUG